AACGAACGCUGGCGGCAUGCCUAACACAUGCAAGUCGAACGAGAUCUUCGGGUCUAGUGGCGCACGGGUGCGUAACGCGUGGGAAUCUGCCCUUGGGUUCGGGAUAACAGUUGGAAACGACUGCUAAUACCGGAUGAUGACUUCGGUCCAAAGAUUUAUCGCCCAGGGAUGAGCCCGCGUCGGAUUAGCUAGUUGGUGAGGUAAAGGCUCACCAAGGCGACGAUCCGUAGCUGGUCUGAGAGGAUGAUCAGCCACACUGGGACUGAGACACGGCCCAGACUCCUACGGGAGGCAGCAGUGGGGAAUAUUGGACAAUGGGCGAAAGCCUGAUCCAGCAAUGCCGCGUGAGUGAUGAAGGCCUUAGGGUUGUAAAGCUCUUUUACCCGGGAAGAUAAUGUCUGUACCGGGAGAAUAAGCCCCGGCUAACUCCGUGCCAGCCGCCGCCGUAA
This 449-nucleotide ribosomal RNA is filed under the name uncultured bacterium. RNAcentral's name for it is "partial 16S ribosomal RNA". It matches the Rfam family "Bacterial small subunit ribosomal RNA", at positions 29 to 523 of the family's 1533-position model. The record is from RNAcentral.